CGGGUGAGUAAUGCUUGGGAAUCUAGCUUAUGGAGGGGGAUAACUACGGGAAACUGUAGCUAAUACCGCGUAGAGUCGGGAGAUGAAAGUGUGGGACCUUCGGGCCACAUGCCAUAGGAUGAGCCCAAGUGGGAUUAGGUAGUUGGUGAGGUAAAGGCUCACCAAGCCGACGAUCUCUAGCUGGUCUGAGAGGAUGACCAGCCACACUGGGACUGAGACACGGCCCAG
This 228-nucleotide ribosomal RNA is filed under the name uncultured bacterium. RNAcentral's name for it is "partial 16S ribosomal RNA". It matches the Rfam family "Bacterial small subunit ribosomal RNA", at positions 103 to 334 of the family's 1533-position model. The record is from RNAcentral.